GACGAACGCUGGCGGCGUGCCUAAUACAUGCAAGUAGAACGCUGAAGGAGGAGCUUGCUCUUCUGGAUGAGUUGCGAACGGGUGAGUAACGCGUGGGUAACCUGCCUGGUAGCGGGGGAUAACUAUUGGAAACGAUAGCUAAUACCGCAUAACAGUAGAUGUUGCAUGACAUUUGCUUAAAAGGUGCACUUGCACCACUACCAGAUGGACCUGCGUUGUAUUAGCUAGUUGGUGGGGUAACGGCUCACCAAGGCGACGAUACAUAGCCGACCUGAGAGGGUGAUCGGCCACACUGGGACUGAGACACGGCCCAGACUCCUACGGGAGGCAGCAGUAGGGAAUCUUCGGCAAUGGACGGAAGUCUGACCGAGCAACGCCGCGUGAGUGAAGAAGGUUUUCGGAUCGUAAAGCUCUGUUGUAAGAGAAGAACGAGUGUGAGAGUGGAAAGUUCACACUGUGACGGUAUCUUACCAGAAAGGGACGGCUAACUACGUG
RNAcentral lists this ribosomal RNA (495 nucleotides) under uncultured bacterium. RNAcentral describes it as "partial 16S ribosomal RNA". It matches the Rfam family "Bacterial small subunit ribosomal RNA", at positions 28 to 507 of the family's 1533-position model. The record is from RNAcentral.